CCUACGGGGGGCAGCAGUCGAGAAUCAUUCACAAUGGGGGAAACCCUGAUGGUGCGACGCCGCGUGGGGGAAUGAAGGUCUUCGGAUUGUAAACCCCUGUCAUGUGGGCGCAAAUUAAAAAGAUAGUACCACAAGAGGAAGAGACGGCUAACUCUGUGCCAGCAGCCGCGGUAAUACGGAGGUCUCAAGCGUUGUUCGGAAUCACUGGGCGUAAAGCGUGCGUAGGCGGUUUCGUAAGUCGUGUGUGAAAGGCGCGGGCUCAACCCGCGGACGGCACAUGAUACUGCGAGACUAGAGUAAUGGAGGGGGAACCGGAAUUCCCGGUGUAGCAGUGAAAUGCGUAGAUAUCGAGAGGAACACUCGUGGCGAAGGCGCGUUACUGGACAUUAACUGACGCUGAGGCACGAAGGCCAGGGGAGCGAAAGGGAUUAGAUACCCGAGUAGUC
This 446-nucleotide ribosomal RNA is filed under the name uncultured bacterium. Its description in RNAcentral is "partial 16S ribosomal RNA". It matches the Rfam family "Bacterial small subunit ribosomal RNA", at positions 338 to 795 of the family's 1533-position model. The record is from RNAcentral.